GUUCCUUGUCCAUGCCAGGAGUUCUGAGAACACCAACUAAUUAGACUAAACUUUCUGCCUGGAAAUGUAGUCAUGGGGUAUCUGAGGAUAGGGAGCAGUGCAAACAGGACUGUUACUUCUUUUGAAGCAACUGGCAGCUACAACUCAGCAACAUUCAAAGAGAAACUGGGGAAGAAAAGUGAGUACGUGAACCAGUUGGGGCUUAUGAAUGUGACUGAACAACAUAAUUAAGAUGGUUGAAAGACCCAGAAUCAUGGGAUUUUAGAGCUGGGAGGCAGCUAGUGACAGUUGGAAUCUGAACUUGAAUCCAGGUUUUCUGAUACAAGUCCAAUGUUAUUUUCCUUAAGAAGUGUUCUUAAUGUGCAUUUUUGAGCUCUUCCAAUUGCCUUCCCUUUUGGAACAGCAAUAGGAGGAAGGGUGUGUGUGUGUGUGCAUGCACAUGAAUGUAUAUAGGGAUGGGUGGAUAUAUAUUCACACACACACACACACACACACACACACUACAGUCUCUUAGAAGGGACAGACUUCACCUAAUUAGCCAGAAGGGCUAACUACCAUACCCCUUAGUUAGUAUAAAAACAUAUGGGGUAUAUUGAUAAUUCUAGAAUUGAAUUUUACAAAAAAUUAAAAUAGCAUUAAAAGAAAUUAGACCCAGAAAAAUUUGUGAAAUGUCAAAUUUUAAUGGCCAGUGAGAAACUUGGUAAAACAUGGAUUCUAUCAGGCAGGCAUAAGUACUCCAUUGUCAAUUAGGCUGGUUCUUGAAGAUAUUGAAUGAUCUUUUGAGCAGCUAUGUAAACUUGGAAAGAAGAAACAAUGUCCAAACAGGCUAAAAGAGAAAAAGACAUAUUAGAACAAGGACUAGAUUAAUAUCCAUCUGUAUAGCAAUACUGUAACAGAGUAAGGAAUGCCUACUUUUUCAGUUUAGCAGUAUGAAUAUACAAUACGUAUGGAUGUGUAUAUAUGUUUACAUAUAGAUAUAUGUAUAUAUAUAAGAAUCAUAGAAUUAAAAGGGAAUUCACAGGCUAUUAACUCCAAACUCCUCAUUUUCCAGAUGAAGAAAAUGAUGCACAGGAAAGUUAUGUGACUUGCCCAGAAUCACACAGCGAAUAAGUUUUGAAUCAGGAGGUGAACUUAUAGCUUUAUUCUUAAGUCAAGUAAUACCCUAUUUACUACACCAUCCUGCUUCCAGAUGUGUGCACACAAAUGCCUAGAUGAAAGUACACAUACUAAAAUGUAGAGGUGGUUUUAAUUAGGGUUUAUUCUCUCUGUCUAUUUGCGUCUCUCUUAUUUUCAUCUCUUUGUUUCUCUCUGCCUCUGUCUGUCUGUCUCUAUGUGUCUCUGCCUGCCUUUGUGUUUCUCUAUCUCUGUCUCUAUCUUUUCUCUCUCUCUCUCUCUCUCUCUGUCUCUCUGUCUCUCUCUCUCUCUCUCCUUUAUCUCUGCAUCUCUCUUUCUCUUUGUCUCUGUGUCUCUCUUUGUCACUGUCUCUGUGUCUGUGAAAGACAAUUUUCAAAGGAAUAUUUGUUCAAACAGAAUACAGUCUUCCAAGAAGCUUUGUGAUGCAAAACUAACAGAUUCCAGUUUCACAGCCCCCAGAAACAUAUUUAAAAUAAGCAGAAAAAAAGUUCAGGAAAAAAAUCUUGCUAACAAGUCACAAAGAGCUUUUUCUCUCUCCUUCCCAUAACAAGUCUUCAAAUAUUUGAGGAUGUUCUUCCCUCUCAAUCUCAAUAGCCUAAAUCACACUAAGACAAAGGCUAUAUAGGGAGCUUUUAUACAUACACACACACACACAUAUAUACACACACAUACACAACAUAUAUAUGUCUGUAUGUGGAUAUAAUGUAUAUAUGGGUAUAUAUGCUUGUAUAUGUAUCUAUGUAUGUAUGUAUUUAUAAAGAGGCAUCAUAGAAAAUAGAUUGAUCAUACUAGCCAGAAAGACUUGAGUUCAAAUCCCAAAUUCUGAGACAUUUUGAAUGUAUAACCCUGGAUAAAUCAUUUAACUCUCAGUGCCUCCAAAAAAUCCCCAAGAUGAAGAGAAGGUACCAUUUUCAGCAGUAAAAAAAAGUUUCUGCACCAAUGAAAAUGCAAGUCUAGCCCCUUCCCGCCCCAAAAAAAGUGUGUGUGUGUGUGUGUGUGUGUGUGUGUGUGUGUCCGGUUCACUGAGGCAGGAAAGUGACCAGAUGCUCAAAGGCCUGACCAGGGGACCCCACGCCCUGACAAAUCCUAACUAGUAAAGUUUUGAGUAUUAUCCUGGCAGUGAUUUGUUCUAUAAUCUGUACAAGAACCAGCCUCAGCACUUCUACUGUCACCACAAGGUCGGCUGUGAGGAUUUUGUACCACAGAAGUACAUGAAGGUGGGCUACUAAGCAUGGAUCAGGGAAGAGCUGCUUUAGUAGAGGAAGCACUCACACUAAUUGAAUCAUUGAAGCCUUAAAUAUAGAGACAUCAUUUGGGGUGCUUGCCCCUUGCAUCCAACUGUUGUACCAAAAAAAAAAAAAAAAAAAAGUUGCAAAUGUAAAGACUUGGCGUCCCUCAGUGAAGGGGCCAUUAUUGGUGUCCCAGUACUUCCUGUUUCCUGUCUCCAUUGUGUGUGCCCACAAUGCCUUUUCUUACAAUGUUCUGGCAGCUCCACAUGACCCAGGAACUGAGCCAAGGUGAUUCAGGUUCUGUCUGAGUUCUGGGAAGCCAUUCAAGUUUGUUCUGCAAUUCUCCAGGCCAGUUCAAACCCGGUCGUGCUUUAGAAACCCUGUUGUUGUGAGAUGAAUUGAUUAAGAGAUCCAUCUCUGGGCAAGUUUCUUCAUUCCAAGCCUGUGUGUCCAUCCUCUGACUGACAGAAAGCAAAGAUAACCUGUUCACCAUUCUCUCUUCCCCAAGCUGCCUGGAGACCUCCCUUCAUCCACUCCAAAAGAAGCAAACAUAAAACUCAGAUGUCUGCCGACAUACACAAUCUCCAGGUUCCAGACUUGAUUUUUUUUUUGUUUAUUUAUUUUUAAUCUUCCAUGAUAAAGGCAAAUUACAUACUUUCCUUUACAAUCCAAGCAAUCUAAAGAGAACUUUUAGGGGAUACUGUUGGAGAAGAACAUUUUCUUGGCCAGUGCUUCCAUCAACCUUUAAAAUAUUAAGAAGAAAAUGUCCACCCCAUCACUAACUCAAGUCUUCCUAAAGAGCUUCCAUUUCUGGCUUUGACGUCUUUAUAUAGGCUGUGCUUCAAACUCAAUAUGUAUUCCCUCUACAUCUCCACUUUUCAAGAUCCCUAAGUUCCUUCAACAUUGAUAUCAGGUGGUACUUACUGCAUGAUGCCUUCCCUGACUUCUAGAGGUGUUGGAAGAUGGCUAAGAGAAAGUUUCCUAUAGAAAGUGGGAUUUUUAGUUGGGACUUAAGGAAACCAAAGAAGUCAUUGGGUGGAGUGGAGGUCGAACUGUUGGAAGCUAGGUGACACAGUAGAUAGAAUCCUGGGUCUCAAGUCAAGAAGAUCUGAGUUCAAAUCCUGCCUCGGAUGCUAAUAAGCUGGGUGAUCCCUUAGCAAAUCAUUUAAUCUGUUAGUUUCUUCUUCUGUAAAAUGGACAUAAAAUAUUACCUACUUUUUAGAGUUGUAAGGAUAAUUGUAAAAUGCUUAGCAUGGUUAACUAUUAUUACCCCAUAAAAAAUUACCUUUUAAUUUUAUUCUAUAUAUUUGAAUAUAGUUAUUUUGUGUCUUUCUUCUAAAAAAUGUAAGGUGGUUCAAGAGAAGGGUUGUUUUUCUUAUUUCUUUGCAUCCCUGGCCCACAGCAUACAGCUAAGCACAGAGUAAGCACAAAAUAAAUUCUUGUUGACUGAUCAUAAGGUAUUAUUCCAGGAAUUGAGGAUAUAAAAUCAAAACAAAAAACAGUUCCUAGCCUCAAGGAAUUUAUACAACAAAUGUUUGCUGAGUAACUCCAAAGAGCCAGACAAGAUGAUGGAAAUAAUGAAGUCUGAAAUAUAUCUCUGACUAUAAAGAUAAUCUAAACUACUUGAGGAGAUUAGACUUAAACAUCAUCAUCAUCCUCAGACAUGAUAAUUCAAAGCUAGUAUCUAUGGAAGACUUCAAGCAAAAGCCGGAUAAUUAUUUGUCAGGGAUAUAGAAAAAGAGAUUCCCUGCUCAAAUAUCAAUCAGAUUAGGAGAAGAUAAAUGGUAUAAUGGAUAGAGUGCUAGUCCAGAAAUUGAAAGAACCUGAAUUCAAAUUUGGCCUAAGACAUUUACUAGCUGUGUGAUACAAGGCAAGUCACUUAGUUUGCCUCAGUUUCCUCAUCUGUAAAAUGAGCUGGAAAUAGCAAACUUCUCCAGUAUCUUUGCCAAGAAAAUCCAAAAAAUAGAAUCCUGGAGAAUCAGGCAGGACUGAAAUGAACUCAACAACUAUACACAAAAAAAAUAGGUCAGAUUAGGUAACUUUGGUGUUCCAUCCCAUCCCCCAAAUUCCCCUAAUCUUUGUAAACAAGUCUAAUCCUCCUCCUAUAUGACAAGACUCCAAGAAUCUGAAAACUAACUUAUAAUUAAGUCACAUAUGAAUGGAAUGUUAAGUCUAUCCUUUUCCAAGAUAAACACCCUCAGUUCCUAUAAUUAAUUCUUAUAUGGAAUGAUUUGGAGAUUCCUUUCCACCUUAGCUAUCCUCUUCUGGGACACACUUCUGAUCACAAAUAUUCAAAAUAAAUAUGACAUACAUAGCUAAACUCAAUGCUCCAAAUGAGUGUUGAGUAAAAUAGGACUAUCACCUGCUUCAUACUAUAAUUGUAUUGAUAUUAGCAAUAACUAGCAUAUUAAAUCACUUGAAAUUUGUAAAAAAAAAAAAUUGACCUUCAAAACAAUCCUGGGAGGUAAGUACUAUUACUAUAGCAUUCACUUUACAAAAGCAUCUAAAAGCAUCUAGCAAAUAUAUGAGGUCAGAUUUGAAAUCUUUCUGAUUUCAGGUCCAGCAUUCUAUCUAUCCAUUAAUAUGGUCUAAGACUGAAUUAAUCAUUGCUGAUUCAUAUACAGCUCAUUGUCAACAGGUCAUCAUUUCACCAGAACUGCUCUCUCUAAAAUUAUUAGUUGCCAAAUCCAAAACUCAAAUUUUCCUUUGACAUCUCUGCAGCCUUUGAAGAUGUUGAUCACUCUUUCUCCUUGGUACUCUCUUUUUUUUUUAAGGAUCUUCAUAGCACUGGGAAAAAAGGAGGAGGAGACCAAGAUAUAGCAGUGAGUUUCAUUGAAAGCCUGUAUUAUGUCUUUGGUUUACUAGAAUAGCCAGUCCAAACAAGUUUAAUCCAGUUCAACGUGAUCUGAUCUGGUCCAAACUGGUUCAAGCCUAUCCAAACCAGCUCGAUCUGCUUCAAACUAUUUCAAUUCAUAAACUUACUCAAUUUGAUCAGAUCAGUUUAACCCAAUUCAAUCCAGAAGGAGGAGCAGGAUUUAUGAAAACGAAAAUUGUUUUAUUUUUGAAAUGCUAUCUAGACAGAGAUAUCCAGUGGGUAACUGGAGAUCUAUUGUUCAGAGGACAGACCAGGCUCUCUUUUUUCUGAAUUUUCUGAAUAGCCAUGAUAGCUACAGCUUGAUUAUAAAUAAGGUAGGCUGACAGAAGAAAUAGUAUACAGAGAGACCAUUAGAGGAACAAAGACAAAACCUUGGGUUCAAAAACAAAAGACAAGGAGUUUGAAAAGAAAACAAAGGAAAGUGUCUAAAAACUGAUAUAAAGGGAGAAGUGCAAAAAGAAGACUGGAAAAGGCUUUUGAUUUCAUUAUUAAGUAAUUGGUUGGGGUAGCUAGAUGGUGAAGUGCAUAGAGUACCAGCUGGUUUAAUGUUUUUCCUCUAAAUCUCCAGAGCUAGCAUAUGUUCUAAAAGAGAAGACAGUUAAAAGUACUUUAAGAUUGUUUUUAGGAGCAGUUAGGUGGUGUACUGGAUAGAGCACCAGCCCUGAAGUCAGAAAGACCUGAGUUCAAAUAUGAUCUCAGACACUUAACACUUUCUAGUUGCGAGACCCUGGGCAAGUCACUUAACCCCAAUUGCCUCAGGAAAAAAUAAAUAAUUGGUCAUUUGUGCCAGUGAAAUUUCCCUAGAGGGAUGAGGGUGAAUGCCAGAUUAUAAGAAUCUGAGAAAUAAGUAAGUAGUAAGGAAACAGAGUCAUCAGAUAUAAAAACUUUUUCCAAUGGUAUAGUAAUGGAGAUGAGAGAGAUGAGACUAUAGCUGGCUGAGAUGCAAAGGUCAAGGGAAAGCUUUCUUAUUUCUUAAGGACUGAGGCAUCACUAACCAUCUGUGUGACUGCUGAUAAGCCAUUUAAUCUUUCUGAGCCUGUUUCCUCAUCUCAAAAUGAAAAGGUGGGACUCAAUCUCAAAACAGUUUGGUAGAGUAGGAAAACACUGGCUCUAGAAUCAAAGGACCUAGUUUCAUAUCUUGUGCCUCAGUUUAUUCAUCUGGAAUAUGAAAGGUUUUAUUGGAUGUUGUCUGAACUCUUUUUUCAGUUCUAGAUCAUAAUCCCUGUGACACAAUUAACUAAAAUCGUCAAACUACCAAUAUCCCUUCCAUCAUACUCCCAGAAAACUAGCUAAGUCCUUUAGAAUUCCAUUGGGUAAAAAAAUAAUAAUAAUAAAAAUCACAGGUACUUCCUUCUCUGAAUUAAAUCUCAAAAUCAUUGAAUGUCAUUACUAAAAGGAACGGUAAGAGACAUCAAAGUUCGUUGUUCCACUAGGCUUCCUAUUGCUCCUGAACAAAUUCUGCCCCCAGGUCUGGCAUCCAAGGACCUCCAUAAACUGCUUAGAUCCUAAACUGCCCAGCUUUAAUUGUUACUACUACCCUUAAUAUAUUCCCUUCCAUUUUAACUGGAUUCUUCUUCAUGCUAUAUUCAUCCAACUUUUUCAUAUAACCAUGGCUUUUUUCACAUUGCCCCCAGUCCAAUACCUGGAGUUUAAUUUUCCCCCAUUUCCAUUUGUUGAAGUCCCUCCUUUUAAGUUCCUUAAACUUGAAGUCCAAGUUUAACUUGGGUCCCACCUAUUUAAUGAAGUCUUCCCUGGUUGCUCUAAAUUAAAAUGAUGUCUCUCUUCAAAUUCCUUCCAGAACUUUCUCCUCUCUCCCCCCCCCCCCAGGCAAUUAGGGUUAAGUGAUUUGCCCAGAGUCACACAGCUAGGAAGUGUUAAGUGUCUGAGGUCAAAUUUGAACUCAGGUUUUCCUGAUUUCAGGGCUGGUGCUCAAUCCACUACACCAACCAGCUACCCCCUUCCCAGUACCUUUAUGGAACAACACGGCAAUUUUUAUAUUUGUCUCCAUCCUCCCUAUCACUACCACCAUCACUUCCAUCUUAUAAACUCCUUAAAAAAUGGGGGGAAUGUGAAUAUUUAAAGGAAGGUAGAUGGAAGGGUACAAGAAGGAGAUCUGGAGUCAGAAAGCCCUUAAUUAAAAUCUAGCUUCAGACAUAUAUCUCUUUGCUGCCUGUUUCUUCAUCCAUAAAAUGUAGAUAAUAAUAGCACCUGUCUCCCACAUUUGUUAUGAAGAUCAAAUGAUGUAAUAUUUAUAAAGCAUUUAGCAAAACUUAAAGCCCUAUGUAAAUGCUAGCCAUUAUAUGAGCAAUAUCCCUAAGCUGUAUCAUUGCACUCAUUUAUCAAAACACUUAAAUAUUUGUCGACUUUAACUCAUUUUAGAAGAGACAAGCAAAGCAUACAGUGGGAAAAUGGUUUCCUUAAGGUCAUCCACUGAGUUUGUCACAGUUGUAUGAUAGCAACUUAAUGACAAAAAGAAGGGGAAAACACCCACAUAUUUCAAGAACUAUCAUGGCAUUAGAAUUAGAAGGAACAAUAAGGAUUAUUUAGGGUAAUUCACUUCAUUUUAAGAUGAGGAAAUUGUCCUAGACAUGAGAAAGGACUGGUUUAAGGGCAUGAAGCUCAUUAUUAGCAUAGCCACAAUUCAAAUACUGAUUGCUUAGCUCAAAAUCAAUGCCAAAAAUAUAAGUCAUAGGAGAGAGAGAAACAAGCUUUCAAGGAAAGAAUGAAAGAGAAAUAAAAAGCCAUAUAGGCUUCCCCAGAACCUCCAGAAUCAUCCUCUAGACUCUUGUACUUUUUAUGUGCAACUUUAUUCAUAAUGAACUCAUUUACAUUAAUCAAGUGUUUAUUGGAUGAUAUCAAGAAAUCCAUUGGCAUUCCCUCACCUUUCCAAGAUAUUCCUGAAAGAACCUAAUCAAAUCACUUUGCUUGAAUGGCCUGCUCAAAACUAUAUGGGGGGGGGGGAGGAAGCUAGGUGGUACAGUAGAUAGAGCCCAAGCCCUGAAGUCAGGAGGACCUGGGUUCAAAUCUGAUCUCAGACACUUAACACCUCCUAGGUGUGUGACCCUGAGCAAGUCACUUAACCCCAAUUGUCUCAGCAAAAACAUAUAUAGAUAUAGAUAUAGAUAUAGAUAUAGAUAUAUAAUAUAGAUGUUCCUCUCAUUAAGGAAUUCAGUGCAGUAGCCCUUAUCCAACAUUCUGAACAUGCAUUAUCCUGUUUCAGAAAGGUGGGAUUUGGGAAUAGAAUUUAAAACUUCUUUUGCUGUUUCUUUUAAUUAUAUGUGCCCAAUUUGUCUCCACUAUCUUGAUGCAGUACUUCAUCUGACAUCUAGACUAUUUCAAUAACCUUCAAAUUGCCUCGUUUCUCCUCAUUCUACUCCAUUCUCCACUUAGUCAUUACAUUAACCUGUCUAAAGAAUAGAUAUAACUACAUCAUCUCUCUCCCCAUUCAAUAAACUCCAGUGGCUUCUUAUUACCUCCAGUAUCAAAUAUAAAAUUAUCUGUUCAGCUUUUAAAGCCUUUCAUAAACUGGCCUCUUCCUUUCUUUCCAGUCUUUUUACAUAUUAUACUCUGUCAAAUACAUUGGGAUUUAGUGACUCUGACUUCUUUGAUGGUUCUCACACAAGAUACUCUAUCCUGAUUGCAUUUUUACUGACUAAUGGCUAAUGUUUUUCUUUUAUUGACUAUCUUCCCCUUAUCUUGUAUAUAGUUUGUACAUCAUUCAUGAUGUCUACCUAAUUAAACUGUGAAUUUUGGGAAAAGAGGGACAAUUUGAGGGAGUUGGGGAUGUUGACUUUCUUUGUAGAAGAGUGAGAGAAAGAGAGAGGGACAAAAACAGAAAAACCAGUAAAAAGUAGAAAAUAUAUGGUAGGAAACAGUGACACCCAAGACAGAAGGAAUCCCAUAAGACUUUCUCUAUCUAUAUCUGCGCUAAUCAAUAUUAGGAAUAAUAUGUAAAACUACCAUCUAGGAAAACAUUCAAAGAAAUAAAGUAUUUCUUUUUAUUUUUGUUCUAUGUUAAAGUCAAUAAUCCACUUGAGGUUAAAAAAAAAAAGCAUCAACACACACGCACGCACACACACGGACGAACGUAGACCAGUUCAAGAAAAAGAGCAUUAAAUGCAACCCAAAUGACCCCGGAUUCCUGAAAAUCUGGAUACGUAGGAAUUUCAGACUUUCCCUCUCUGCCUACAAACUCUGUAUGUACCUGCAAUGUGUUGUACAAGAAAUAUCUAACUUAUUUUUAUGCUUUUUCCCCCUUUGGAAAGGGGGUGAGUGUGGAUGAUUAUCACACUUCAUAUUUCUUUCCUAAAUUUCUCUCACCCCUCCUCCCCAAAAAAUAAAAAGUCAGUUUCAUUGUCACGUCUACUUUUUAAUGGAUCUUUCAGCUUAGAAGGGAGAGCUGCGCCGUUCCGCCCACGGCCGUGUAAUGAGUACAUACAAGGGAGUUCAUGUUACACGAUUCCUCCCUCAAGGAUGCCCCCUCUCCCCAGAGUUCAAUUUCUAAAGCCCAGAAUAAGCAACCCGGCUGUACCCCACCCCAUAAUCGUAAGGCAUCUGGUGGGGAGGAGGUGGGGUUGGCAGGGCACAGUCAGGGAAGAACUGAGCAAAAGGCGUCAAAGGGCCGGCGUUGUCCUCUCCCCCAGGGGAGCCGAGGCUGGAAGCGGAGUCUGAGGUACCGGGGUACAAGGGGCGCAAAGUUUCGUUCAAGGUCAAGCCGCCGCCCCCGCGAUUGGAAGCAGGGGCAGGCUUCUUGGCUGGGGGGCACGGGGUGCUCCAGGGCUCUGAGUAUAGCAAGCUAGAGACCACGGCGGGGUGCGGAUCGUAGAGGAUGUGUUCCAGCUCCUGGGGGGCCCGCAUGGCAGCUGGGAACAAAUCGAGAGGCUCGGAGGAUAGUAAGCUCCCAACCUCUCCACCCGCACAGUAAUCGGGACUCAAUAGCUCGAAAAACUCCAUCGCCUCGCAGCCUUUCUCCAGCUCGCGAAAGGUCACGCCAGCCCCCGGCUGGCCGCAUCCACCUGCCCUAGACGGUUCGGUGAAGAAAGACGGGGGUAGAUUGCGAUUCCGGAGAGGGACUUUCUUGCCCCCUCCGGCUCCAGCUAUAACCACAGCUGGACCACCUCCUUCGGCUCCCACGCCGCCGCCGCCGCCGCCGCCUCCUCCGGGCGCCACAGCCAAGGUUCCGGCUCCUCCUUUCUCACCACAGUUCCCUCGAACCUGGUGCAAAGAGUCGAAGAGGGCAGCCAGGCUCUUGCUCUGAAGACUGGCGGCGGCCUGGGAGCCUUCCCGUUUCGGGGGUGCUUUGCCCUGGGGACCCGGGGCUGCGGGAGAGGCAGCAGGCAGUCGCUUCGGGGGCGCUUCGGGAGUCCCAGCCGGGCCAGCAGCUGCGGGGCCGGGGGAUGGAGAGACGGAAGGAGCAGGGCCCGAGGCAGAGGCCGUAGAGGAGGUCAUCAUACCAGUGCAGCGCUUGAUCUGCUUCUGGAGAUAUUUGCGGUGGUUCACCUUCCGCUUGGACUUGACGGGCUUGUCCAGGGCCAGCUUGAUGUUGCUAGACGCCGAAUCGAUGAAGCUCAGCAGAACUCUCCCGAUGUCUGCCCAAAUCAAAGUAACUAACUGUGCCUGGCUCUUUGGUACUAACCAGCCCAGGGCUCCACCGAGAAGACAAUCAGCAAUAGAGAGGUUGGCUCCAGAGAUGCACAACUUACCCUGGAAUGGAGAAACCCAGGCUCUGUCCCUAACCCCAGUAC
Molecule: long non-coding RNA, 10982 nt
Filed under: Sarcophilus harrisii (Tasmanian devil)
Lineage: Eukaryota; Metazoa; Chordata; Mammalia; Dasyuromorphia; Dasyuridae
Description: lncRNA (ENSSHAG00000023611.1)
Source: RNAcentral